UUCAAAUCCAAAAGCUAGAUCCCACAACACUUACAAAUCCAACGGUUAGAAAGCCCUACAGAUUUCGGCCGUUUUCUUACUUUUUAGAAUCCGGACGAUUUUCUUGCUCUUUUUUCACUCUCUCUCUCUCUAUUCAUCGUCUUACUCGAGUUAUUGUUCUUGUUCCGACCCUAAUUCCCUUAAAAUCCUAGCUUUAUCCGACUCCGUUGAAAUCAAUGGGACCUAAACGAUCAACUCCCUUGGAAGAUCCACC
Molecule: unclassified non-coding RNA, 253 nt
Filed under: Hevea brasiliensis (rubber tree)
Lineage: Eukaryota; Viridiplantae; Streptophyta; Magnoliopsida; Malpighiales; Euphorbiaceae
Source: RNAcentral